GUGGGGAAUCUUGCGCAAUGGGCGAAAGCCUGACGCAGCCAUGCCGCGUGAAUGAUGAAGGUCUUAGGAUUGUAAAAUUCUUUCACCGGGGACGAUAAUGACGGUACCCGGAGAAGAAGCUCCGGCUAACUUCGUGCCAGCAGCCGCGGUAAUACGAAGGGGGCUAGCGUUGCUCGGAAUUACUGGGCGUAAAGGGCGCGUAGGCGGACAGCUUAGUCAGAGGUGAAAGCCAAGGGCUCAACCUUGGAAUUGCCUUUGAUACUGGCUGUCUUGAGUUUGGGAGAGGUGAGUGGAACUCCGGGUGUAGAGGUGAAAUUCGUAGAUAUUCGGAAGAACACCAGUGGCGAAGGCGACUCACUGGCCCAAUACUGACGCUGAGGCGCGAAAGCGUGGGGAGCAAACAGGAUUAGAAACCCCGGUAGUCC
This 425-nucleotide ribosomal RNA is filed under the name uncultured bacterium. RNAcentral's name for it is "partial 16S ribosomal RNA". It matches the Rfam family "Bacterial small subunit ribosomal RNA", at positions 354 to 796 of the family's 1533-position model. The record is from RNAcentral.